GAUGAAGAACGUAGCGAAAUGCGAUAAGUAGUGUGAAUUGCAGAAUUCAGUGAAUCAUCGAAUCUUUGAACGCACAUUGCGCCCUUUGGUAUUCCUUAGGGCAUGCCUGUUCGAGCGUCAUUUGAAACCUCAAGCUCAGCUUGGUGUUGGGUGUCUGUCCCCGCCUCCGCGGGGACUCGCCUCAAAAUCAUUGGCGGCCGGUACGUUGGCUUCGAGCGCAGCAGAAACGCGAACUCGAGGCCCGGCGGAUCGGCGACCAGAAGUCUCUUCUUCACAGUUUGACCUCGGAUCAGGUAGGGAUACCCGCUGAACUUAAGCAUAUCAUAAGCGGAGGA
Molecule: unclassified non-coding RNA, 335 nt
Filed under: soil metagenome
Description: partial contains 5.8S ribosomal RNA, internal transcribed spacer 2, and large subunit ribosomal RNA
Rfam family: 5.8S ribosomal RNA (bases 1-120)
Source: RNAcentral